This 428-nucleotide ribosomal RNA is filed under the name bacterium Ellin5246. Its description in RNAcentral is "bacterial SSU rRNA". It matches the Rfam family "Bacterial small subunit ribosomal RNA", at positions 28 to 458 of the family's 1533-position model. Lineage: Bacteria; Bacillati; Actinomycetota; Actinomycetes; Mycobacteriales; Mycobacteriaceae. The record is from RNAcentral.
GACGAACGCUGGCGGCGUGCUUAACACAUGCAAGUCGAACGGAAAGUGCUCUUCGGAGUGACUCGAGUGGCGAACGGGUGAGUAACACGUGGGUGAUCUGCCCUGCACUUCGGGAUAAGCCUGGGAAACUGGGUCUAAUACCGGAUAUGACCACGCGCUUCAUGGUGUGUGGUGGAAAGCUUUUGCGGUGUGGGAUGGGCCCGCGGCCUAUCAGCUUGUUGGUGGGGUAAUGGCCUACCAAGGCGACGACGGGUAGCCGGCCUGAGAGGGUGUCCGGCCACACUGGGACUGAGAUACGGCCCAGACUCCUACGGGAGGCAGCAGUGGGGAAUAUUGCACAAUGGGCGCAAGCCUGAUGCAGCGACGCCGCGUGAGGGAUGACGGCCUUCGGGUUGUAAACCUCUUUCAGCAGGGACGAAGCGCAAGUG